UUAAGCGACUAAGCGUACACGGUGGAUGCCCUGGCAGUCAGAGGCGAUGAAGGACGUGCUAAUCUGCGAUAAGCGUCGGUAAGGUGAUAUGAACCGUUAUAACCGGCGAUUUCCGAAUGGGGAAACCCAGUGUGUUUCGACACACUAUCAUUAACUGAAUCCAUAGGUUAAUGAGGCGAACCGGGGGAACUGAAACAUCUAAGUACCCCGAGGAAAAGAAAUCAACCGAGAUUCCCCCAGUAGCGGCGAGCGAACGGGGAGCAGCCCAGAGCCUGAAUCAGUGUGUGUGUUAGUGGAAGCGUCUGGAAAGGCGCGCGAUACAGGGUGACAGCCCCGUACACAAAAAUGCACAUAUUGUGAGCUCGAUGAGUAGGGCGGGACACGUGGUAUCCUGUCUGAAUAUGGGGGGACCAUCCUCCAAGGCUAAAUACUCCUGACUGACCGAUAGUGAACCAGUACCGUGAGGGAAAGGCGAAAAGAACCCCGGCGAGGGGAGUGAAAAAGAACCUGAAACCGUGUACGUACAAGCAGUGGGAGCACGCUUAGGCGUGUGACUGCGUACCUUUUGUAUAAUGGGUCAGCGACUUAUAUUCUGUAGCAAGGUUAACCGAAUAGGGGAGCCGAAGGGAAACCGAGUCUUAACUGGGCGUUAAGUUGCAGGGUAUAGACCCGAAACCCGGUGAUCUAGCCAUGGGCAGGUUGAAGGUUGGGUAACACUAACUGGAGGACCGAACCGACUAAUGUUGAAAAAUUAGCGGAUGACUUGUGGCUGGGGGUGAAAGGCCAAUCAAACCGGGAGAUAGCUGGUUCUCCCCGAAAGCUAUUUAGGUAGCGCCUCGUGAAUUCAUCUCCGGGGGUAGAGCACUGUUUCGGCAAGGGGGUCAUCCCGACUUACCAACCCGAUGCAAACUGCGAAUACCGGAGAAUGUUAUCACGGGAGACACACGGCGGGUGCUAACGUCCGUCGUGAAGAGGGAAACAACCCAGACCGCCAGCUAAGGUCCCAAAGUCAUGGUUAAGUGGGAAACGAUGUGGGAAGGCCCAGACAGCCAGGAUGUUGGCUUAGAAGCAGCCAUCAUUUAAAGAAAGCGUAAUAGCUCACUGGUCGAGUCGGCCUGCGCGGAAGAUGUAACGGGGCUAAACCAUGCACCGAAGCUGCGGCAGCGACGCUGAUGCGUUGUUGGGUAGGGGAGCGUUCUGUAAGCCUGUGAAGGUGUGCUGUGAGGCAUGCUGGAGGUAUCAGAAGUGCGAAUGCUGACAUAAGUAACGAUAAAGCGGGUGAAAAGCCCGCUCGCCGGAAGACCAAGGGUUCCUGUCCAACGUUAAUCGGGGCAGGGUGAGUCGACCCCUAAGGCGAGGCCGAAAGGCGUAGUCGAUGGGAAACAGGUUAAUAUUCCUGUACUUGGUGUUACUGCGAAGGGGGGACGGAGAAGGCUAUGUUGGCCGGGCGACGGUUGUCCCGGUUUAAGCGUGUAGGCUGGUUUUCCAGGCAAAUCCGGAAAAUCAAGGCUGAGGCGUGAUGACGAGGCACUACGGUGCUGAAGCAACAAAUGCCCUGCUUCCAGGAAAAGCCUCUAAGCAUCAGGUAACAUCAAAUCGUACCCCAAACCGACACAGGUGGUCAGGUAGAGAAUACCAAGGCGCUUGAGAGAACUCGGGUGAAGGAACUAGGCAAAAUGGUGCCGUAACUUCGGGAGAAGGCACGCUGAUAUGUAGGUGAAGCGACUUGCUCGUGGAGCUGAAAUCAGUCGAAGAUACCAGCUGGCUGCAACUGUUUAUUAAAAACACAGCACUGUGCAAACACGAAAGUGGACGUAUACGGUGUGACGCCUGCCCGGUGCCGGAAGGUUAAUUGAUGGGGUUAGCGCAAGCGAAGCUCUUGAUCGAAGCCCCGGUAAACGGCGGCCGUAACUAUAACGGUCCUAAGGUAGCGAAAUUCCUUGUCGGGUAAGUUCCGACCUGCACGAAUGGCGUAAUGAUGGCCAGGCUGUCUCCACCCGAGACUCAGUGAAAUUGAACUCGCUGUGAAGAUGCAGUGUACCCGCGGCAAGACGGAAAGACCCCGUGAACCUUUACUAUAGCUUGACACUGAACAUUGAGCCUUGAUGUGUAGGAUAGGUGGGAGGCUUAGAAGUGUGGACGCCAGUCUGCAUGGAGCCGACCUUGAAAUACCACCCUUUAAUGUUUGAUGUUCUAACGUUGACCCGUAAUCCGGGUUGCGGACAGUGUCUGGUGGGUAGUUUGACUGGGGCGGUCUCCUCCUAAAGAGUAACGGAGGAGCACGAAGGUUGGCUAAUCCUGGUCGGACAUCAGGAGGUUAGUGCAAUGGCAUAAGCCAGCUUGACUGCGAGCGUGACGGCGCGAGCAGGUGCGAAAGCAGGUCAUAGUGAUCCGGUGGUUCUGAAUGGAAGGGCCAUCGCUCAACGGAUAAAAGGUACUCCGGGGAUAACAGGCUGAUACCGCCCAAGAGUUCAUAUCGACGGCGGUGUUUGGCACCUCGAUGUCGGCUCAUCACAUCCUGGGGCUGAAGUAGGUCCCAAGGGUAUGGCUGUUCGCCAUUUAAAGUGGUACGCGAGCUGGGUUUAGAACGUCGUGAGACAGUUCGGUCCCUAUCUGCCGUGGGCGCUGGAGAACUGAGGGGGGCUGCUCCUAGUACGAGAGGACCGGAGUGGACGCAUCACUGGUGUUCGGGUUGUCAUGCCAAUGGCACUGCCCGGUAGCUAAAUGCGGAAGAGAUAAGUGCUGAAAGCAUCUAAGCACGAAACUUGCCCCGAGAUGAGUUCUCCCUGACCCUUUAAGGGUCCUGAAGGAACGUUGAAGACGACGACGUUGAUAGGCCGGGUGUGUAAGCGCAGCGAUGCGUUGAGCUAACCGGUACUAAUGAACCGUGAGGCUUAACCUU
This 2902-nucleotide ribosomal RNA is filed under the name Escherichia coli. RNAcentral describes it as "bacterial LSU rRNA". It matches the Rfam family "Bacterial large subunit ribosomal RNA". The record is from RNAcentral. Lineage: Bacteria; Pseudomonadati; Pseudomonadota; Gammaproteobacteria; Enterobacterales; Enterobacteriaceae.